RNAcentral lists this ribosomal RNA (253 nucleotides) under uncultured bacterium. Its description in RNAcentral is "partial 16S ribosomal RNA". It matches the Rfam family "Bacterial small subunit ribosomal RNA", at positions 524 to 776 of the family's 1533-position model. The record is from RNAcentral.
UACGGGGGGGGCAAGCGUUGUUCGGAAUUACUGGGCGUAAAGGGCUCGUAGGCGGCCAACUAAGUCAGACGUGAAAUCCCUCGGCUUAACCGGGGAACUGCGUCUGAUACUGGGUGGCUUGAGUUCGGGAGAGGGAUGUGGAAUUCCAGGUGUAGCGGUGAAAUGCGUAGAUAUCUGGAGGAACACCGGUGGCGAAGGCGGCAUCCUGGACCGACACUGACGCUGAUGAGCGAAAGCCAGGGGAGCAAACGGG